UUGCUAUGCGGAAUCGGCAGGAUGAGAACCUGCAGCAGGUUCGGGUCGAGCUUCUGCGAGACAACGUUGCCAGCGGCAACGGCCCGAAGGGCGAGGCGAAGCCGAGUCAUCCUGCACGACCCACCA
This is a non-coding RNA of Pantoea sp. PSNIH2, 126 nucleotides long. NCBI's taxonomy places the organism in Bacteria, Pseudomonadati, Pseudomonadota, Gammaproteobacteria, Enterobacterales, Erwiniaceae. The record is from Rfam.